UUNGAUCCUGGCUCAGAUUGAACGCUGGCGGCAGGCCUAACACAUGCAAGUCGAGCGGUAGAGAGAAGCUUGCUUCUCUUGAGAGCGGCGGACGGGUGAGUAAUGCCUAGGAAUCUGCCUGGUAGUGGGGGAUAACGUUCGGAAACGGACGCUAAUACCGCAUACGUCCUACGGGAGAAAGCAGGGGACCUUCGGGCCUUGCGCUAUCAGAUGAGCCUAGGUCGGAUUAGCUAGUUGGUGAGGUAAUGGCUCACCAAGGCGACGAUCCGUAACUGGUCUGAGAGGAUGAUCAGUCACACUGGAACUGAGACACGGUCCAGACUCCUACGGGAGGCAGCAGUGGGGAAUAUUGGACAAUGGGCGAAAGCCUGAUCCAGCCAUGCCGCGUGUGUGAAGAAGGUCUUCGGAUUGUAAAGCACUUUAAGUUGGGAGGAAGGGUUGUAGAUUAAUACUCUGCAAUUUUGACGUUACCGACAGAAUAAGCACCGGCUAACUCUGUGCCAGCAGCCGCGGUAAUACAGAGGGUGCAAGCGUUAAUCGGAAUUACUGGGCGUAAAGCGCGCGUAGGUGGUUUGUUAAGUUGGAUGUGAAAUCCCCGGGCUCAACCUGGGAACUGCAUUCAAAACUGACUGACUAGAGUAUGGUAGAGGGUGGUGGAAUUUCCUGUGUAGCGGUGAAAUGCGUAGAUAUAGGAAGGAACACCAGUGGCGAAGGCGACCACCUGGACUAAU
This 731-nucleotide ribosomal RNA is filed under the name Pseudomonas libanensis. RNAcentral's name for it is "bacterial SSU rRNA". It matches the Rfam family "Bacterial small subunit ribosomal RNA", at positions 12 to 738 of the family's 1533-position model. The record is from RNAcentral. Lineage: Bacteria; Pseudomonadati; Pseudomonadota; Gammaproteobacteria; Pseudomonadales; Pseudomonadaceae.